Molecule: ribosomal RNA, 459 nt
Filed under: uncultured bacterium
Lineage: Bacteria
Description: bacterial SSU rRNA
Rfam family: Bacterial small subunit ribosomal RNA
Source: RNAcentral
GACGAACGCUGGCGGCGUGCCUAACACAUGCAAGUCAACUUGACUGAAGGAGCAAUCUGACAGUAGAGUGGCGCAAGGGUGCGUAACGCGUAAGUAACUUGCCCAAGGUAAGGAAUAACGUCGAGAAAUCGGCGCUAAUACCUCAUAAUGCAGCGGAUCCGCAUGGAUAUGUUGUUAAAGGUUUACCGCCUUGGGAUAGGCUUGCGUCUGAUUAGCUAGUUGGUGUGGUAAACGGCACACCAAGGCUACGAUCAGUAACUGGUCUGAGAGGAUGAUCAGUCACACUGGAACUGAGACACGGUCCAGACUCCUACGGGAGGCAGCAGCGAGGAAUAUUGGGCAAUGCUCGAAAGAGUGACCCAGCAACGCCGCGUGGAGGAUGAAGGUAUUCUAUAUCGUAAACUCCUGUGAGAGCAGACGAAAGACAGAUUAUAAUCUGGAUGACUGUAUGCUCAGAGG